AUGAUGGGUUUAUGGUUUAGAACUGUUUCACUUAUAUUGUAACGAAUUUUUUUAAUAGGUGAAAAUACCUAUAGAAAAAUAUUAGACGAGAAGACCCUUAGAGUUUUAAUAAAGAUUUUAUAAGUUAAAAUGAUGUUUUUGUUGGGGCGACAUUUUAUUAAAUCUGCAUAGAUAAUAACAUAAAUUAAACAUACUAUACAUAUAACUUUAUGUUUGUUAAAAAGAAUAUAACUACCUGAGGGAUAACAGCAUAAU
This 255-nucleotide ribosomal RNA is filed under the name Geomalacus maculosus. RNAcentral describes it as "partial 16S ribosomal RNA". Lineage: Eukaryota; Metazoa; Mollusca; Gastropoda; Stylommatophora; Arionidae. The record is from RNAcentral.